AACGAACGCUGGCGGCAUGCCUAACACAUGCAAGUCGAACGAGACCUUCGGGUUUAGUGGCGCACGGGUGCGUAAGGCGUGGGAACCUGCCCUUAGGUUCGGAAUACCUCCCUGAAAGGGGUGCUCAUACCGGAUAAUGUCUUCGGACCAAAGAUCUACUGCCUUUGGAUGGGCCCGCGUUGGUUUAGCUAGUUGGUAGGGUACAAGCCUACCAAGGCGACGAUGCAUAGCUGGUCGGAGAGGAUGAUCAGCCCCACUGGGACUGCGACACGGCCCAGACUCCGACGGGAGGCAGCAGUGGGGAAUAUUAUGCAAUGGGCGAAAACCUGAUCCAGCAAUGCCGCGGAAGUGAUGAAGGCCUUAGGGUUGUAAAGCUCUUUGACCCGGGAUGAUAAUGACAGUACCGGGAGAAUAAGCUCCGGCUAACUCCGUG
RNAcentral lists this ribosomal RNA (433 nucleotides) under uncultured bacterium. Its description in RNAcentral is "partial 16S ribosomal RNA". It matches the Rfam family "Bacterial small subunit ribosomal RNA", at positions 29 to 507 of the family's 1533-position model. The record is from RNAcentral.